GGGGGUGAUCGGUUUCGACAGCGUGAGUCGAGUGAGGUGAAGCGGGCCGAGGAAGGCAACGAUGAUCUCGUUAACCAUCCGUUGCAAAAAAAUCAAGUGCCGAUUCCAAGCGCACUGAGUUCGCCCUCGCCGCCUGAGCGAGUAAGAACUCCGUCAGACCGGGAGUCCUCCGACCCGGAGCCUGACGUCAGCUAGGAGGAUCACCGAGAGGCCCGGUCGCGGGGCCUUGAGGGACAUCAAACAGCGACUGGGCCCGUCACACCGUGGUGUCCGUGACAGCGGUGGGGUCAAGUAGAGACAUAACGGACUGCGCCCGGAGAAGCCCUCGCAAGGCCACGGUGGACGCGGGUUCAAUUCCCGCCACCUCCACGU
This is a non-coding RNA of Nakamurella multipartita DSM 44233, 372 nucleotides long. It matches the Rfam family "transfer-messenger RNA". Rfam says of the family: Bacterial tmRNA, also known as 10Sa RNA or SsrA, is named for its dual tRNA and mRNA-like properties. Its role is to liberate the mRNA from a stalled ribosome. NCBI's taxonomy places the organism in Bacteria, Bacillati, Actinomycetota, Actinomycetes, Nakamurellales, Nakamurellaceae. The record is from Rfam.